UACGGAGGGAGCUAGCGUUAUUCGGAAUUACUGGGCGUAAAGCGCACGUAGGCGGCUUUGUAAGUCAGAGGUGAAAGCCUGGAGCUCAACUCCAGAACUGCCUUUGAGACUGCAUCGCUUGAAUCCAGGAGAGGUGAGUGGAAUUCCGAGUGUAGAGGUGAAAUUCGUAGAUAUUCGGAAGAACACCCGUGGCGAAGGCGGCUCUCUGGUACGUGACUGACGCUGAGACGCGAAAGCGUGGGGAGCAAACAGG
Molecule: ribosomal RNA, 253 nt
Filed under: uncultured bacterium
Lineage: Bacteria
Description: partial 16S ribosomal RNA
Rfam family: Bacterial small subunit ribosomal RNA
Source: RNAcentral